Molecule: transfer RNA, 97 nt
Filed under: Bacillota bacterium
Lineage: Bacteria; Bacillati; Bacillota
Description: tRNA-Sec
Rfam family: Selenocysteine transfer RNA
Source: RNAcentral
GGGAGUAGAUGGGUUCUGGUGUGCCCUCCGGUCUUCAAAACCGGUAUGGGGGGUUAGUAGCUUCCUGGGUGGGUUCGAUUCCCACAUACUCCCGCCA